UCUUCCUACACCAGCAAACCACAACCUCAUCUUCCUCGACCAAGCCUCUUUUCCACUCUCCGACCAAACCCAAACUUACUCAUCAUGUCAAGGCGAAAGAGGAUAACAGGAAUGAAAGUACUUUUCUUCUUGCUUUGUACGUUGGGGCUGGGCGGGGUCAUGUCAUUGUUGUGGCGGGCAUUGUUCUCUCUGCAUCAGGCUGAAUUCGAAGUGCCUUUCAUGCCAAUUACAAACAAAGAUGAAGAGUGAAACUGCAAAGGUUUUUUUCAGGGAAUGAGGAUCAUCUCUGGUGGAUCCCUUAAGUAAAUUGUUUGCCAAUUACCUGGUGGAGCAUCUGUUCUUCUAAAGUGUCUGAUCUCCCCUUAUCAAUCAUGCUUUGAUCAUCCAAAAUUAUGUGGUGUUCGUGAACUUUGUACUUCGCUUUCAAUAUAAAAAUAUGGGGACUCAGUGUUUAUGAGUCCAAGUUGUGAUUCAACCAGAAUGAAACCCCACAGCUAGCUUGUAUUGAUCGUUUUUAGUGCAGGAUUUUGUUUUCUACAUGCAGCUAUAUAUUGGGCACAGUGGGAUUAUCUCUUUAAUUGGCAGCCAUUCGAGAC
Long non-coding RNA from Carya illinoinensis, 596 nucleotides. RefSeq lists it as uncharacterized. The transcript is spliced from 2 exons. The record is from RefSeq and is a predicted model, not a curated record. NCBI's taxonomy places the organism in Eukaryota, Viridiplantae, Streptophyta, Magnoliopsida, Fagales, Juglandaceae.